RNAcentral lists this ribosomal RNA (774 nucleotides) under uncultured Neocallimastigales. Its description in RNAcentral is "partial large subunit ribosomal RNA". It matches the Rfam family "Eukaryotic large subunit ribosomal RNA", at positions 20 to 616 of the family's 3401-position model. Lineage: Eukaryota; Fungi; Neocallimastigomycota; Neocallimastigomycetes; Neocallimastigales. The record is from RNAcentral.
UACUAGAGUAGCACUCGCAUAUCAAUAAGCGGAGGAAAAGAAACUAACAAGGAUUCCCCUAGUAACGGCGAGUGAAGCGGGAAGAGCUCAAAUUUGAAAUCUUAAAGGGUUUCCCUUUACGAAUUGUAGUUUAAAAAAGUGUUUUCUGUUGAGGUUUUGGUAAAAGUUCUUUGGAAUAGGACAUCAUAGAGGGUGAGAAUCCCGUAUUUGACCUUUACUUUCAACUUUGUGAUACACUUUCAAAGAGUCGGAUUGUUUGGGAAUGCAGUCCAAAAUGGGUGGUAAAUUUCAUCUAAAGCCAAAUAUUGGCGAGAGACCGAUAGCGAACAAGUACCGUGAGGGAAAGAUGAAAAGAACUUUGAAAAGAGAGUUAAACAGUACGUGAAAUUGUCAAAAGGGAAGCGUUUGACACCAGUGUUGUUUUUCUGAAAAUCAAUUAAAGAACUGUUUAUGCUAAGUUGUUUAGACUUUAUCAGCUAUCUGUUUAGUUUUGAGCUUUUCUUUAAUGCACUUUUCAGUUAACAAGUCAACAUCAAUUUCUUUUGCUGUAAAAAAGCUUGAGGAAGGUGGCUUGAGAUUCGUCUUAAGUGUUUAUAGCCUCUUGCCUAUGCAGUCGGAGAGAUUGAGGUCUGCAGCGUAGAUCCUUCGGGGCUAAAUGCAUUUGUGCUAAGUUAUAGCAUUUUAUAGACAACUUGUUGACUAUGAUUUGUCUUGUAGCUUACUCGCUUAUGUUAUUUUACCUACGCUUAGGAUGUUGAGCGCAUGUCUCUCUCU